UGCAAAGAAGUUAUAGUUAACAAUCAAAGGUAUUUACAGAACAGAUUCUGAAUGAUGUACAUUGACAAUUCGAAUACAUAUAAUAUAAAGUGGUUUACCCCAAAAAUUACACUUAAAAAAGUAAAGACAAAUGAACAAGAUCUUUUACAAUGAAACAAAUUGUUUUAAGUAUGAACAAUACAUGAAAAAUAAUAAAUAUCAACAAAAAUAUUCGACAGCAAAACGCACCAAAAAUCAACAUCCGACUUUUUCGAGUAAAAAAACGAAUAGACUUACAGUGGUAAAUAAUUUGAUGCUUACUCAAGUUUCUUUUGCUUAUAUCGUGACUAUUCUGAAUAGUUCUAAUAUUAAACGGAAUGCCACUAUAUGGAAGCACUAAAGUAUGAUUCAUGCUAAAAUCAGGGGUUAUAUUGUAAGCCUUUUGACUAUAUAAUUUCGGAUUUUGGUAUAGAAACAAUUACAGCAUCAAAUCCAAAAUAAUUGAAAUAUUUUUAAAAUCUAUUAUUGCUUCUUAAAAAAUCAGAUAUGUUUAUUUUCUUGACAUAUUUUCUGUAUUUUCUAUACUUAUUUCGUACAGAUAAACAGUUAAGUUUCGUUCCAGUUGAGCGAUUUCUGCGGACGUCACUAAAAGUAGUUAGAAAUUACGACAGUAAUCAGUUGAUAAGUUAUUUGUAUACAGUCUUGUAAGAAGUUUUAAUUUUUAUGGAAGGUAUUUCCCAUGAAAUAGAAAAUUGCUUGAAAAUAUUGAUUUUUCAUUUUGCCCAAGGACACAGAAAAGUGCUUGUUAAAAUUAUUUUCUGAGAUUUAAGUUUAUUUCAAACCAGAGGCGAUAUAUAUGAAUACACAUGUUAUAGUGAAUUUGUAGAACUAGGGAUUUUGUAUAAUCCCUGAAAUUUUCAGGGAUAUGUAUAAUCGCUAACAAUUAUAGUUCAUAAACAUAUACUUUGUACAUGUAUAUUAUAAAGAGUAAAUUAUUACCGAAUAAAACAGGAUUUCUCGGAGACAUGUGGACUGACAGUUAUUCGAAAUAUCAGAAUUUUCUUACUUCUUUAUAGAUUAUAAAUGAUGAUAUGGAAAUGUCAGACCACAAAAUGAAGAACUCUUUCCAACUAUAUUACAAGAAUACGUUUUCGAAAUUUGCGAUGCAAUAACUGGAUUAAGUAUCUUGUAAUACAUAUAAUAUAAAUGGCUGUUUUGUUUUUGAUACUGAAUUUAUAAGCAAAAAUAUUAAGCGAGCCCGCUAGGGCUGAUGAAGUCAAAAUAAAAAAGUCAGUAUCAAAAAAUAAAAUGCCAUUAUUUUUUUUAUCGGCAAUUCGUCAUAUUAUUAAAACUGUAGGGUUUUUUGGUGGAGAAUAUGAAGUAGAAUGAAAUAGUUAUUAAAACUACUUUCACGCGUACAAUACGUUGGGAUAGUUGUUCGCUUGUAUGAAUGACGUCGCGUGUAUUUCAGAAAAAACAGGACAUUGUUGGGUCAUAGUUGGUAACAGGUAAGAACUUUAUUUCAAAACACUUCCUUUCUUUUCAUUGUUUUAAAAAAAUUACAACAUUACUAAUUGGUCAAAAUUAGAAGAUAACAGCAAACAAAGUCAUUUUUCUUUAUAAACUUUAAUUUGUUUGAAGAAAAAUCUGUCUGUAAUGAAAAAAAAACAAAAAUAAAUUCCUUUCUGUUACCAUCUACUAUUCUAGAAUUGCACAAUGUUCGUUGCUGUUAUACAACAACUGGAAGUGUUUAACGACUUUGACUGGCUAUACAGCCCUCGCACGGUCGGUAAAUUUAUAGUUGCUGUUAUCAAAAGCCAAAACCAUGUCUUGUCAUUCAAAAGACAGAACAUUAUGAUGAGGAUUAGAUCAUACGAUGAUGAUAACUGAUAUAACAUACACUGCUUGGCAUAUAGUAGGUUAACUUUGUAUUUAUUUAGUAAAAUUGUCUUAAUCGUUCUUCCUGUUACUGAUUAUGGUUAUGCUGUUACUUUAGGUAAAGUAAAGUAACAGAAUGGAAUUACGCAGUACUUUUGUUCUUUUAUUUGAAAUGUCUACUUCCAUCUACAUGUCAAUUAAAAAAAAAGAUAUAAAAACACAACUUAUGGUAUAGUACUGACAUUAAAAUAUUCUCAGAAAGUACACAAAAAGGCUGUAACUGGAAAGAACAACAAAUAGUUUUCUAUUAAUUCUUUUCUUGGAUGAGUUCGGAUUUUUCAAACUUGCCGCCAUUCAACCUAUACUUGUGUAGUCAUACAUUCAGGAAAUGGUGCUCGUCUCAUUGCAUUAUAGGAAAUCAAAUGUUGUUUUUUCAAACGUUUCCACAGGUGAAAAAACACAGUGGCUCAAGGAAAUUACCCCAUGGGACACAGUUUUGAACUAUAAUGAAAUGAUUUUUUUUCAGAUAUGCUGUAGUCAUAAAAAAAAAACCAGACCAAUACGGGACAACUUUCUUAAUAUAAUCUAUCAUAUUAGUGACAACUGGAAACUUAUUUUAUUUAUUAUGAUAUUCUUUGAAUGAUUUGAUUAUCAGAAAACAACAGUGGACAAGAGAUUUUUUGGGGGUUUGAACAUUUAAAUUAUAAUAUUUUAUUUGCAAAAAUAUAAGAAGGAGUGUUAAAUUGGCAAAGGUUGAUGCAUUGUAUACUCUAGAUAAUACUGAAACUUAAAUUUUCCAAAAAGAUAACUGAAUUAAAAAAUAAUUGCCGGAGAACAAUGGGCACAAGGAAGUUAGACAUUUUCAGAUAUUGUCUCAAUUAUACAGAUAACAGGAAUCACCAAAAGUAACGACAUUACAACGUCUAUAACAGACCAUAACAACCACCAACACCCGACUGUUAAAAACAGAAACAAAGAAAGAAAGUCAUCAAAAAACAACACAUUGUGCAUAUAGCAUUACAUGCUACAUAAACAAAAUGAGGUGGUGUUAAACAAUUUGUGUGCGGAUAAAAAUACCUCUUUUCCUAUUAUCUGUACCAUAUGUCAUUUGAAGAGGCAGUAUAUUUACGAAAGUUAGGAAUCAUGCUGUAAUCAUGCAGUUAAUUUAUAGAUAUCAAUAAACAAAUAUGCUUCAUGCCAUUUUCAGAAUUCUAAUGAUUGUAAUCAAGAACAAAGGCCCUCAUUAUUAUUUGGUCAUCUGCUAGAUCAUUAAUUACGCAAAUUGAACACUCACGUCAGCUACGAAUGUUCCUUUGGUUUCUUUGUCUAUAUUUUCUCAUGUCGGGGCCUUUUAUUGAUGGCUAUACGGUAUGAGUUUUGCCCAUUAUAUUUUGAUAAAUAUAUUGUAAAUUUAUUUAAAUGUACGAUUUCUGAACUAGUGAUGUAUUUAUAGAAUUCCGUUUUGUACUGGACACUAGAUAUUCUUACGUCAGUAUUUCUGUUCAUCCGUAUGCAAGGUUUACACAAGUGCGGCAUGUAAUAAAUACAAUAACAGACCAUAGAAAAAAAACCAGCAGAAGGUCACCAACAGGUCUUCAAUGUAGCGAGAUUUUCCCCCACCCGGAGGCGUCCUUCAGCUGGCCCCAUAACACAUAUAUACUAGUUCAGAGAUAAAGUGCUUAAAUUGAGUCUUUAUUUAGACUAUUUUUAAUCUAAAAUACGAUUGACAAAGAUUAUGUACAUGUUUUAACGACAAAAAAGAUGAUUUCAGCUUUCCAAUUGUGAACUUUCCAUUUCUUAGUAGCAACAUUCCAGCAGCACCUGCAUAUGGUGUAAAUAUCUCCAAUUGAUACGAUAUCCCGUGCUUGCAUUCCUAUCAUGAUUUUGUUGAUAGAGGGUUGUUGCUCACAAGGAAGCUAUUAGAUCAAGAGUUACAAAUGGUGAAGUUGAAAUCAUCUCUUCGUAAAUUUUACGGACGCCAUCACGAGUUGGUUGACCGUUAUCAACAUAUGAUAUCGAUAUGUUCCUACGUCGUAACUACAAUCCCUUCCCUUUCAUAAAUGUGACCUACCGAAUUAGACUAUUUACCGGAUUUGUUAUCUCAUAAGCCACACGACGGGUGUCACAUAUGGAGUAGGAUCUGCUUACCCUUCCGGAGCAACUGAGAUCACCCCUAGUUUUUGAUGGGGUUCGUGUUGUUUAUUCUUUAGUUUUUCUAUGUUGUGUCAUGUGUACUAUUGUUUCUCUUUGUCCUUUCAUUUUAGCUAUGGGGUUGUCAGUUUAUUUUCGAUUUAUGAGUUUGACUGUCCCUCUGGUAUCUUUCGUCCCUCUUUUAUCAAUCCAAGAACCUUGAAAUAUUUCUACCAACGACACACAAGUCGGUAUCAAUCUCAGAAUCUGACUUUUGUUCAUUUAUAUAAAUCACAAGUUCAUGGUUUUCUCAGCCUGCAUUUAAUUCUAACAUAACUUUUGAUUUUUUAAACCUGUAUACCAUCAUUCUCCAUGUGAAAUUAUAUUUUUUUGAAUAACCAUUGAACGACAAAAUUUCUUCCUAUGUGACGUUUACAUUUUCUGACGUCAGACACGCGAAGUAAUCUUAGUAAUUUUUUUUAAUUUGAUAGAUGCUUUUUGUGCUUUUUUGUAAAAAAAAAAAAGGUUUGAUGGCUGCUGUACCCAUAUUUUCACAAUUUUAUUUAGUAUGUCUGUUUAGUUCACGCAUCGUUGUAAAUAUAACGGAAUUUGAUGAGACUGUCAUACAAGUGAGAGGUUUAGCGCUAUAAACAGGUUCAAUCCACAUUUUCUACAUUUGAAAAUGCCUGUACAAGUCAGGAAUAUGACAUUUGUUGUCCAUUCGUAUGAUGUGUUUUGUCAUUUGAUUUUUCCAUUUGAUUAGGGGCUUUCCGAUUUAAUUUUCCUCGGAGUUCAGUAUUUUUGUGAUUUUAAAUUCUUUAAGUCUUCUGUGCACGAUUUUAUCAUUUUUUACGCAAACAUAUCGUAUGAUCGUCAUUUUUUUCUCUCUGUCUGUUAUGAUGUGAAAAUAUGUCAGCCACUUAAUUGUUGUGUGUUUGAAGCCGUAGUUUACCGAUUGUCACCUUAUAGUAAACAGAAAAAAGUAUAUGUACAUAAGUUUAAUAAUCAAUCCUAUCUAUUUUGUUAUAAAAAAAAAACAUAUGCAUGUUGUUUUUUAAUUUGAGGUUUCAUGUGGUCCAAUGAGUGCCAAUGAGACAACUCUCCAUCCAAGUCACACUUUGUAAAAGUAAACCAUUAUAUGUCAAAGUAAGGCCUUCAACACGGAGCCUUGCCAACCAGCAAGCUACAAUGACUAGUGUAAAACCAUUCAAACAGGAAAAACAACGAUAUAAUCUAUAUAAAAAACGAGAAGCGAGAAACGCUGAUGAACCUCAUUAUCAAACGACAACUACUGAACAAGGUUCCUGACUUAUGACAGGUGCAAACAAAUGCAGCGAGUUUAAACGUUUCAAUAGGCACCAACCUACAGGUCCGAGUACACAGUUAUUUCGUAGUGCAUUUCUUUCAAAAAAAUCCCACCUGCGCUUUCUCAAUAAUAUUUUUAAGUGUGGUGUACUACUUUGGGCCCCAAAUUAAUCAAAAUUAUAGAAAACUUCAAUCAGCUCUACUCAAAAUAUGGACAAUUUUUUUUAAGGGGGUCUUGAAAUCUUUUGACAGCUUCCGAAGUGCUAAUUUUUUUACUUUUUCAGCUGGACCCUAUCACUACUUUACAUUAAUAUUUAUGACCCAAAUUUUUUUACAGUGUCAAUUCACCCCCACCCCCCCCCCCCCCCACCCUAACUUGGUAUAUGAGGCAUGAGAAAUAAAUUUGGAAGGGAUAUAACAAAAAUUGGCAAGUAACACACUGUCCACACUAAGGACUAUAUUCGUGGACAACGAAACAACAGUGAAACACCACAACAUAGACAGACACACUAUAAAAUAUCAAUUGAAAUGGCUUAACUCAAUCAAAAGACAUAUGUUUAAAUCUGAUGAAACAACCCCUUUUCAAUUGAUUUUUGAACACCUUUAAACUUUAAACAAAAUCAAGGUGUCGUAAAGUUGCAGCAGUAGAGGCGGACAAAUUUACUGCUUUUCAUUACCUACACAUACAUUUUAUUAAGUGUACAUUACUGAAAUAUAACAAAAAUGACUGUAUUAAAUAUCAAGAAUAGUGCCACCAAUAACAACGAAUAUUUGAAUUUUUUGCUAAGGAAUCAUACGGGAAUAUUCCUCAAAUUAGAUUAUAAAUGCAUAGUUUUUUUUCUCUCUUGGAUUGUAAAUAAACACCAUAGCGAUAGAAUUUUAACAGAAUUGAUGAUUUUAAGAGCUUUAGAAGAAACUUUAAUAAAAAAAAAAAUAAAAAAAAAAAUGUUGUAAUAAGGUGACAGACGCUUUAAUGUCUCUAUAGUAACAUCACUUGCUGUAUGUGUUACAUGUAGGUAUUGGCUCUUAUAUGUUUCCGUUGGUAAACACUUGUGUUGAUAGUUUGUUUUUAAAGCAAAAAAAAAAAGACAACCGACACAACGUACCGAUCAAAGAAUACUCGUAGAAACUAAAUGUCCUAUUUCACCAUGUAAUAAAUAGAACAGGUAUUAACAUAAAUAUCAAAUCUUUAGAAUGCAAAACCAAGUUUUUAUUGCUUGAAAGAAUAUAGAAGGUUUUUUUCUGUAGAAAAUUCUUUAAUUUGCAAAUUUAGAAGAAGUUUAAUUUUUUCUUUAAUUGCUUGCUUCAAGGCAGUAAUUCGCCGACAUAUUUUCCGUAUGCAAGUUACCUUAGCGUGACCCUUCUCGUUAAAAUCCGGUGAUCGCAAUAAUCAUGAAUCUGUCAUUAAAAUAAACUAUUAUCUGAUUGUUCAUGCUAUACACGUGCUCACUAUCCACGUUUCUUUGUUGAUUGUUCACUUUAAGGUUACAAUCGGUAAACUACGGCUUCAAAACACUGCAAUUAAUUAGCAGCCAUAUUUUUUCGUCAUAACAGUCACAGAGAGAAAAAAUUGACGAUUAUACGAUAUGUUUGCGUAAAAAAUGAUAAAAUCGUGCACAGAAGACACAGUUUGUGAUAAAUACAUGCAUUGGUUCAAGAAUUGGAUAACCAUUAUUUUUCACCAGUCACUCGUUUCAUAUGACUUUAAACUUUUCAUUAGGUCAACAUGACCAUAAUUGUCACUUGACACCUGAAGGAGCUAUAAAUAAACUCAUCCUAGAUACUAGGAUUAAAUUUUAUAUUUAUUCCAGACGCGCGUUUCGUCUACAAAAGACUCAUCAGUGACGCUCGAAUCCAAAAGGCCAAAUAAAGUACGAAGUUGAAGAGCACUGAGGAGCAAAAUUCCUAAAUGUUUUGUCAGAUACAGCUAAGGUAAUAUAUUCCUGAGGUAGAAAAGCCUUAGUAUUUCAAAAUUCAAAAGUUUUGUAAACAGUUAAUUUAUAAAUAUGACCAUAUAAAUGAUAAUUCAUGUCAGCACAGAAUUGCUGACUACUGGGCUGGUGAUCCCUUCGGGGAAUUAAAACUCCACCAGCAGUGGCAUCGACCCAGGGGUUGUAAAUAAACUCAUAAUAGAUUACAGGAUUAAAUUUUGUAUUUACUCCAGACGCGCGUUUCCUCUACAAAAGACUCAUCAGUGACGCUCGAAUCCAAAAACCCUAAAAAGGUCAAAUAAAGUAAAAGUUGAAGAGCACUGAGGACCAAAAUUCCUAAAAGUUUUGACAAGUACAGCUAAGUAAUCUGUUCCUGAGGUCGAAAAGCCUUAGUAUUUCAAAAUUCAAAAGUUUUGUAAACAGUUAAUUUAUAGAUAUGACCAUAUCAAUGAUAAUUCAUGUCAGCACAUAAGUUCUGACUACUGGGCUGGUGAUACCCUCGAGUAUAAACUUUUGCCCUUAAAAGUCAUUUUUCACAAGUUUUCGUAAUUUUUUUUAAUGUUUUACAAAAAUCUUUCUACUUGGCCAAAUGGAAUUUAACUGAGCCACAAUUAUUAUUAGAGUAUCUUGAUUUAAAAUGUAUCCGAUAACCCUGUCCUAUACAAACAACAUGGUCCCCAUCGGUAAAAAUGAAACAUAGGGGUUUCUAUAGAAGUCUAUGAAGGAAAUGUAAAAAAAAACUAUUUCAAAUGGUCAUAACUGGAAAACUAAUGUAAAUAAUAUUAAGGGUCUUCAGUAACUAUUGUAAGACUACAAUGGGAUGACUUGAUUUUUUCCCCAGGGGUGCCAUUUUUUCAGGGUGCUAAUAAUUUCUCCUCGAUAUGUUCCAUUUUCAGAAUUAUUCAGACUAAGUGUUACUUUUUCUAUAAACCAUUAUUAUAACUUUUAUUUCAGCAUUUAUAUAUUGGGUGUAUACCCCCUAGACCCGGUGGGUUAGUCGGGGUCAGGGGAACCCCUGUCCAAAUUUUUGAAGAGUGUUAAAUAUAAACAUUUAAAUAUAAAAUUAAAUGUGGAAUGCUUGCCAAUGAGACAACUCUCCACAAGAGGCCAAAUGGCAUUGAAUUAACAGCGAUAGGUCACUGUACGGCCUUCAACAAUGAGUAAUCCAUACCGCAUAGUCAGCUAUAAAAGGCCCCGCAAUCACAAAUGUAAAAUAAUUCAAACGAGAAAACUAACGGCCUAAUCAAUGUUCCAAAAAUGAACGAAAAAUAAUUAAAAAAGGCAUUAUCAGUAUUAUACAGACCCUGUUUGGAAUUUUUGUUUCAGUUUGGCAUGCUCUAAUGCUAUGCAUUUUUAUUAGCGAAGUGUAAGUGAAUUAUAUGCAUCUGAACAUUGUUACGGUUCAUAGUGUACCCCAUCUGUUUCUGUAUCUUAAAAAACGACAGAAGUUCAAAUUUAUCUUCAGUAUUUCUCAUUAAUCCGACUGUCAUGUUGUUUUAAAUUAGCUACGGUUAUUAAAUUUGUUGUAUUUAUGUUUCAGUUUAAAAUGUUUCAAUGCUUUGCUUUUAUAUGGGCCAAGUGAAAAAGAUACACCUCCAAUGGCGUUUUUGUAUGGAAAACAGGAUGGAUGUUUCCGUGCAGGAUGUGGUCCAAACUACUGCUGCUGCCUCUUAUAAUAUCCAGAUAUGUCAGUGGGAACUAUAUUCGUAAAAUAUACUUAAAAGAUCUUUGAACUUACAUAAAAUGUCAAUAUGAACAGAUAUAGAUUAAGAGCUUAAAAGCAUGUCAAAGGUUUACAGAAUCAUUGACCUGUAAAUAUCUUGUCCUAUUUUAAAAAAAAAUAGGGAAAUAGAAAUGGUUACAAUUUUAUCUUUUAAACAUUAGCAGAUUUAUUAUGUUUAUCGAGGACCCAGUAAAUAUGUUACAGUAAAUGUGUAUAAUAAGGGAUUUUGUAUAAUCAUUGGUAACUUUAGUGAUGUAUAUAUGUUGUGUACAAGUUAUCAUUUUGUACAAAACAAAUGUACACAGUGACAUUAUGAUUUGUAUUUUGACUUUGUACAAAUUACAGUUUGUACUAUAUAUAACGAAAAUUCACUUAUAACUUGUACAAUAAUUCAUUAUGUAAAUGUUGGUGAAAAAAACAUUAAGACACACCACCAUAGAAUUAUUAUUAAAUAAUCAAACAGAACACCUUAUUGACAAAGCACAAAAAAGUCGGUGCAAAACUUUUAGAAAUUUUGGUCCUCAAUGCUUUUCAACUUCGUACUUUAUUUGGCCUUUUAAACAUUUUUUGAUUCGAGCGUCAGUGAUAAGUCUUUUGUAGAAGAAACGCGAGUCUGGCGUGAAUGUAAGGUUUUAGUCCUGGUAUCUAUGAGGAGUUUAUUUCAUUCGUUUCAGUCGGUGCGUGAAGUGAUGGUAUCGGGAAUUUCAUCUUUUGACUUUGACAUUUAACUAUUCUUCAUCACUUAGCAACGGCUAAUUACUUUGGGUCAAUUGCUUUAAUAAGUUGCCAAAUCUGUACUUUAUCAUUUACACUCUUUUAGUGUUUUACUCAGUUGAUGUAGUAGUAAUAGUGUAACCAUGCCGGUAUUGUUAAUUAUAAGGAGAAAUGUGUCCAUAAUGUUCUGAACAUAGCAGGGAAUGAUUUAUAUAAGAACAAUCAUGUGUACACCAAGGACAAGCAUAGUGGAUUUUUGGUUAAAUUGGGUUUGAAACACCGAUCAUGCUUGCCAGGAAGCGUGCACUGUGUGGACAAUAGAUCCAAAACUAAUAUCUGACCAAUCAAACGAGACAGUAACUACCGAACUUGUUUUUUAAGGGUUAAUGCCAUUACACAUAUUCCUCAGUAUGAUCGUGUCCUAACAGUUCCCCGAAAUAUCCUAUGCGUAAUUUUUUAAUGUGGAGAUUUUGGGUACCAAAUUGGAACAGCUGUAUGAAUUUUAACAGGAUAUUAAUAUUGUAUGUCUAAAAGUUAAAUUGAACUCUGAAAGACACAUGUUUAUUCAUAGCAACGGUUCCUGAGCUUCAAUUUCGCUUCGUGAUGCAGUUAAACAGCCCUUAAAACAGGUUGUCCGGGAUUUCUGUCAUGUAAAUGCAUAGGUGGAUACAGCACUUCUAAAUGUAAGUGUGAUUGUCAAAAGAUGUUUUGCCAAUUCCCUCACCUGCUUUAAAAAACGAACGAUAAGGAACGAUUUAAGUAUUUGAUAAGUAAGAGUGUACUGUAUGGUCAUCUAAUAUCAAUUCUAUUGUGUGUAUCACUGCUUUACCC
RNAcentral lists this long non-coding RNA (10491 nucleotides) under Mytilus galloprovincialis (Mediterranean mussel). Lineage: Eukaryota; Metazoa; Mollusca; Bivalvia; Mytilida; Mytilidae. The record is from RNAcentral.